This is a long non-coding RNA of Sabethes cyaneus, 318 nucleotides long. RefSeq lists it as uncharacterized. The transcript has 2 exons. NCBI's taxonomy places the organism in Eukaryota, Metazoa, Arthropoda, Insecta, Diptera, Culicidae. The record is from RefSeq and is a predicted model, not a curated record.
UCGCGAUGCUGUUGGCCGUAGCCUUUGCUCUACCAGCACCCAACGAUGAUUUCCAAGCGCAAUUAAAUGCCAUUGGAGAGGCUAUCGAGAAUAACCCGGAACUUGCCAAUGGAUGGUUGGGUGAUGCAUGGAACUGGGUUAAGAACAACAAGGAUGCACUCGGCCAAAUUGCUGGCGGUAUCCUGAGCAUCGGUUAAAUGGAACUGACACAUUUGCUACUUGGACGAGAUGAUAUCCACACGUCGAAUGGAAUUGGAACGUUGAAUGAAUGAGUAUCAUCCAGCGAAUGUAAUACAUCUAGCAAUUUCUUUUCCUAAA